GAUGAAGAACGUAGCGAAAUGCGAUACGUAAUGUGAAUUGCAGAUUUCAGUGAAUCAUCGAAUCUUUGAACGCACAUUGCGCCCGCUAGUAUUCUGGCGGGCAUGCCUGUUCGAGCGUCAUUUCAACCAUCAAGCCCUAGGCUUGCGUUGGAGCCCUGCAGCUGCCGCAGGCUCCCAAAUCCAGUGGCGGGCUCGUCGUCGUACCGAGUGCAGUAAACAUCCUCGCUCAGGGAACGUGACGGGUUCUUGCCGUGAAACCCCCCACAUAUCAAGGUUGACCUCGGAUCAGGUAGGAAUACCCGCUGAACUUAAGCAUAUCAAUAAGCGGAGGA
Molecule: unclassified non-coding RNA, 332 nt
Filed under: soil metagenome
Description: partial contains 5.8S ribosomal RNA, internal transcribed spacer 2, and large subunit ribosomal RNA
Rfam family: 5.8S ribosomal RNA (bases 1-120)
Source: RNAcentral